CAGCCGCCGCGGUAAUACCGGCGGCCCGAGUGGCGGCCACUAUUAUUGGGCUUAAAGCGUCCGUAGCCGGGUUGGGAAGUCCUCCGGGAAAUCUGGCCGCUUAACGGUCAGAAUUCCGGGAGAUACUGCCAGCCUAGGGACCGGGAGAGGCCGAGGGUAUUCCCGGAGUAGGGGGGAAAUCCUAUAAUCCCGGGAGGACCACCUGUGGCGAAGGCGCUCGGCUGGAACGGGUCCGACGGUGAGGGACGAAGGCCAGGGGAGCAAACCGGAUUAGAUACCCGGGUAGUCCUGGCUGUAAACGAUGCGGACUUUGUGUCGGACAAGCUAUGAGCUUGUCCGGUGCCGGAGGGAAACCGUUAAGUCCGCCGCCUGGGGAGUACGGCCGCAAGGUUGAAACUUAAAGGAAUUGGCGGG
This 414-nucleotide ribosomal RNA is filed under the name uncultured microorganism. RNAcentral describes it as "bacterial SSU rRNA". It matches the Rfam family "Archaeal small subunit ribosomal RNA", at positions 459 to 872 of the family's 1478-position model. The record is from RNAcentral.